AUGUUGCUCAUUUUGCAUAGGAUUUUCAUUUUGUGUGCUUUCGCAAUGCGUUGUUUGGUUUGAGACUUCAGAGGACGGUUCCGGUUCGUAAACAUUUCCUAAGCGCUUAGCUUCAAUUAUUAAUUGCCGUUUGUCCUCGUUUACGAGACGCACUGAGGUUACUAAGCUGGCCUUCUCCUCUUCAAGUAUUUUAAUUUUUGUAUUUAAAUCAGAGGUAAUAUAGACUAAGUUGUUCAUGCGUUCAAGGUAUUCGGCGUUUU
Molecule: non-coding RNA, 260 nt
Organism: Paramuricea clavata
Lineage: Eukaryota; Metazoa; Cnidaria; Anthozoa; Malacalcyonacea; Plexauridae
Source: the annotation of a GenBank genome assembly